This 301-nucleotide ribosomal RNA is filed under the name uncultured bacterium. RNAcentral's name for it is "partial 16S ribosomal RNA". It matches the Rfam family "Bacterial small subunit ribosomal RNA", at positions 509 to 807 of the family's 1533-position model. The record is from RNAcentral.
CAGUCGCCGCGGUAAUACGUAGGUGGCAAGCGUUGUCCGGAUUUAUUGGGCGUAAAGCGAGCGCAGGCGGUCAAUUAAGUCUGAUGUGAAAGCCCCCGGCUCAACCGGGGAGGGUCAUUGGAAACUGGUUGACUUGAGUGCAGAAGAGGAAAGUGGAAUUCCAUGUGUAGCGGUGAAAUGCGUAGAUAUAUGGAGGAACACCAGUGGCGAAGGCGACUCUCCGGUCUGUAACUGACGCUGAGGCUCGAAAGCGUGGGUAGCAAACAGGAUUAGAUACCCCCGUAGUCCCUGUCUCUUAUAC